Molecule: long non-coding RNA, 1699 nt
Organism: Oenanthe melanoleuca
Lineage: Eukaryota; Metazoa; Chordata; Aves; Passeriformes; Muscicapidae
Exons: 2
Source: RefSeq, a predicted model, not a curated record
AAAGAGAUGGGAAGCAUGGGCUGGGGAAGGGAUGAGAGGAACGUAAUCAGGGCUGGAGCUGCCAGCGGGGUUAAGAGCUGCGGGUUUAUCAAACACAAUAUCAUCCCCCCCCCCCGCCCGGAAUAUAAAGGGACUGAAACAGAAGCCGUGUGGGAGAUAAGGCGGCAGCACCCAGCAGCUCAUAUGGAAUUACUGCAGUGACCUUGACCAAAGGGUGGCCAGAACUCCUAUGCCACCCACCUGCCCUCUGGCACCAGACUCCUCCCUUGGAAGGGAAGAUGCCAGCACAGGACAUUCUUCCAUUGUACGUGACUGAUGCAAAACUUUCAUCUACUCAGUGUUGUAUUAACAGAUUUUCCAGUGGGCAGAUGAACACAUGGAGCCUGGUUUCCAUAGGCUGGACUGAAGAUAUGGAUCCAUGGAGACAUGGAUGGGCUUUGCCAUCCUUUAAGGUAAAGCUACCAAAGGAAAGCAUUCCUGCCUCUCAGACAAUCACGUUUCCUCUGGAACCUGCAGACGCCCUCUCUCCUAGAAACAAACAGAUGGCGUGAGCAGUUUGAGUUGGGCAGAUUCACAAAGCUGAUAAUCAUCUCCAGGGAGGCAGGAGCUAUUGUCAGAGCCUGUAAGACAUACCCCAACUUCAGGCCUUUUUCCUCCUAAUUCUCAAAAUGUUGCUGAAAUUCUCAUGCCAGGAAUGCUGAGCAGAGACAUUUCCUUUGUGGGUCUGUGCCCACUAAGCCAGAGGAGGCUCCUGCUGCUAUAGAAGCCAAAAUGCUUCCCCACACCCACGAAGAGAAAACAGCUCAAAAGAUGAGAAGCCUCACCUGGCCAGUGAAAAAAACAAGCUGUGCUUUGCCAUGGUCCUGCUGGGAGCCAAGGGGAGGAAGAGAUCCUUUCCCCAAUGAAAAUGAGAAAGCAGAAGACACCAAUUCAGCAGAAGGAGCAGUCAUUUCACACUAGAUGUGCUGUGUGCCAGCCCAGGGACAGGGACACGUGCCCAAGGGACACACCUGGAGCCACUGAACUCGUGGCUGAGCAAUGCUCAGCAUGGAUAGGCAUCUGCUGCCUCAGAGCUCCAGUGGGAUCACCAUCCCCAAUUAAUGAGCUACACUGAUGUCAUUGCUCUGCUGGGCCAAAGCCUUCCUGGGGAAUGCUGUCCAGCUGCUUUAGCAGGAAGGUGGCACUUAGUGACACCAGGCCAAGGCAGACUCCACACAGAGCUCACUCUGCCUCAGGAACCUGCUCCAAGUGAAGCCCAGUGUGCCACACUCAGGCCUGGGAUGCCUCCACAAAAAGCCUCCUUCCAGCAGUGAUGCACUCAGAUGGAAAAUGGUGAUGAGCCCAGACACUCAGGCAGAUGGACAGACAGGACAGGUGCUCUAACACGAGGCCUUACCAUGGCUCACAACUUUUAUAGCACAAAUUGCACUAAUUUAAGAGUGAUUAUCAGUGGAAGAAAGAAUCUAAAACCUGGCUCAGAAUGGGGCAUGGGUACUUGGAGCUCAAUGGAAAGAGAAGGCAAGAUCAGCACAAGAAGGAAAGCUGUGAGUGCAAAACCAGGCAGGAUGGCACACCCCUUGGGACAGUGCUUCUACUGGGAUCCAGAAUGCCUCAGAGAAGCCUCCUGUCAGCAAUUCCCAAGGGCAGACUGGACAAGCAGCCAAAAACAUGAUAAAAACCAGGAUGGAUUUGUCUACUC